UACGUAGGGUGCAAGCGUUGUCCGGAAUUAUUGGGCGUAAAGAGCUUGUAGGCGGUUUGUCGCGUCUGCUGUGAAAUUUCGGGGCUCAACCCCGAACUUGCAGUGGGUACGGGCAGACUAGAGUGUGGUAGGGGAGACUGGAAUUCCUGGUGUAGCGGUGAAAUGCGCAGAUAUCAUUUGGAACGCCAAUGGUGAAAACAGGUAGCUGGGGCUGUACUGACACUGAGACACGAAAGCCAGGGGAGCAAACGGG
Molecule: ribosomal RNA, 253 nt
Filed under: uncultured bacterium
Lineage: Bacteria
Description: partial 16S ribosomal RNA
Rfam family: Bacterial small subunit ribosomal RNA
Source: RNAcentral